This is a long non-coding RNA of Mustela erminea (ermine), 1225 nucleotides long. RefSeq lists it as uncharacterized. The record is from RefSeq and is a predicted model, not a curated record. Lineage: Eukaryota; Metazoa; Chordata; Mammalia; Carnivora; Mustelidae. The transcript is spliced from 4 exons.
AGGAAGCUGCUCAGAGCUGUACCCCUGAAAAGGGAGAAUAAAUCAAGGAAGAGGAAGAUGCGGAAUUCUGGAACCAGGGGAUCCAACCCCAGAAGGAGAGAGGCUGAGGAGCGUCCCCAGGGAGGUGCCCAUCCGGAUGAUCGGAGAAAGGCCUGGGGUUGAAUUAAUGAUGAGAUCACAGGUCACAGGCCCUGGGUAACUCAACAAACAGGACCACUGUUAACUGGCAGCAAAACCCAGGCCUGCCUGCUGCCUCACAGCCCUCAGAGUUAGCCACAACCAUCUGAGGAAUGUCUCCAUUCUGUGUCCCUAAGUGUGCAGGGGCACAAGAGAAGAGUCCAUCUCAGGUGGGCCAAGGGCCACCCCCACCCCUCACAGUCCUUCCUGCCACAGAGACCCCAACCCAUGGGGCACCCAGGAUUGGGCUCUGCCGACUGGAAGAUCCCCAAGGACACACAUCCCCUUCUCUCUUUCUGAAAAUGCUGUCCUAGAGCAGAAUGCGGAAAUCAAGAUGGUCCUCAAGAUAAACAUACACAUUAUGAAACCAGAGGAGCUGACCUCACAGCAAAGAAGCCCACGGAAGCCCCUGGAAGGUCCCAGAUGAUGCCGGAGAUACCUGACCUUCUAAGAAGGCUCCUGGCAGAGGGCCUUCGGCACCAGUGCCCCCAACUCAGCCAGUGACAGCGCACUCCACAAAGACCCACCGCCUACUGCCUGAAAGGGCCCACCAGACCCCAUGGUGGGGGUGGGGGACCGAGACCUUCCUGACACCCAACACGCACCAGGACCCUGUGUUCCAGAAUUCAUUGUUUGUCAGCUGAUUUCUGAACAAGAAAAACUCUCUCACAGAGCCCUGGUUGGGUCCAUCACACGAGUCCUCCCCACCCUUCAGUUCUGGAAAUCUUAGAUGUCCCCUCAAGGAUACACAAGAGCCUGGUCACAGGGCAGGACAAUCAGUUUUUCCUGUCAACCUUUGCGGUGCUUGGGUUUUUGCCACAUGCGGGUAUCACUGAAGACAGGACAGAUGACGACACUGGACUCACGCAGACACUAGCCCUGAGCCUGCAGCCCAGGGGCGGGCGAGGCCCCUGCGGUCACAGGACAAGGCUGUGGCCUCGCCGCCCCCCUCCCCCACGCCGUCAGUGUGCAGGCUGGCCGCGACACAAAAAUCAACCGAGUGGCAUUACCGACGGGUUAUUAUUACACCCCGGUGCGUCCAGGGGCU